RNAcentral lists this transfer RNA (74 nucleotides) under Ameiurus melas (black bullhead). It matches the Rfam family "tRNA". From Rfam's summary of the family: Transfer RNA (tRNA) molecules are approximately 80 nucleotides in length. Their secondary structure includes four short double-helical elements and three loops (D, anti-codon, and T loops). The record is from Rfam by way of RNAcentral. Lineage: Eukaryota; Metazoa; Chordata; Actinopteri; Siluriformes; Ictaluridae.
GAUGCUGUGGCUUAGUUGGUUAAAGCGCUUGCCUCGUAAUUAGGAGAUCCUGGUUUCAAAUCCCAGCAGUGUCU